This is a non-coding RNA of Pelobates cultripes (western spadefoot toad), 309 nucleotides long. NCBI's taxonomy places the organism in Eukaryota, Metazoa, Chordata, Amphibia, Anura, Pelobatidae. The record is from the annotation of a GenBank genome assembly.
UGCAGAGUGGGCAUGCCGCAUCACAAGGGCCACCCAGAACUGGCUCAACUUCCAUCAAGCCAAGUUCUCGGAGGAGAUCACCCAGCUCAUCAUGCUAGAGCAUGUUUUCAAUGGGCUCCCCAAAGACAAGGCGACGACGCAUUUGUAUGUCAUCCAUAUCAACUUUCGAUGCCAUUUACUGCGCCUACCAUGCUGACCACGGGUAAUCAGGGUUCAAUUCGUGAGAGGAAGCCUGAGAACCGGCUACCACAUGCAAGGAAGGCAGCAGGCGCGCAAAUGACCCACUCCCGACGCGGGAAGGUAGUGACG